Molecule: small nucleolar RNA, 95 nt
Filed under: Zea mays
Lineage: Eukaryota; Viridiplantae; Streptophyta; Magnoliopsida; Poales; Poaceae
Description: Small nucleolar RNA Z103
Rfam family: Small nucleolar RNA Z103
About the family: This family consists of several snoRNA Z103 sequences which are members of the C/D class of snoRNA which contain the C (UGAUGA) and D (CUGA) box motifs. This family seems to be found exclusively in plants.
Source: Rfam by way of RNAcentral
GAGGAUAUGAUGACCCUUUCCCCAGAUGAUCGACAGUGAACAUAUUGAGCGCAACAAGUUCUCUAUUAGAGAACCAAGCCAGAAUUCUGAUCCUC